GAUGAACGCUGGCGGCGUGCCUAAUACAUGCAAGUCGAGCGAACAGAUGAGGAGCUUGCUCUUCUGACGUUAGCGGCGGACGGGUGAGUAACACGUGGAUAACCUACCUAUAAGACUGGGAUAACUUCGGGAAACCGGAGCUAAUACCGGAUAAUAUAUUGAACCGCAUGGUUCAAUAGUGAAAGACGGUUUUGCUGUCACUUAUAGAUGGAUCCGCGCCGCAUUAGCUAGUUGGUAAGGUAACGGCUUACCAAGGCAACGAUGCGUAGCCGACCUGAGAGGGGGAUCGGCCACACUGGAACUGAGACACGGUCCAGACUCCUACGGGAGGCAGCAGUAGGGAAUCUUCCGCAAUGGGCGAAAGCCUGACGGAGCAACGCCGCGUGAGUGAUGAAGGUCUUCGGAUCGUAAAACUCUGUUAUUAGGGAAGAACAAAUGUGUAAGUAACUAUGCACGUCUUGACGGUACCUAAUCAGAAAGCCACGGCUAACUACGUG
Molecule: ribosomal RNA, 497 nt
Filed under: uncultured bacterium
Lineage: Bacteria
Description: partial 16S ribosomal RNA
Rfam family: Bacterial small subunit ribosomal RNA
Source: RNAcentral